This 406-nucleotide ribosomal RNA is filed under the name uncultured bacterium. Its description in RNAcentral is "partial 16S ribosomal RNA". It matches the Rfam family "Bacterial small subunit ribosomal RNA", at positions 30 to 526 of the family's 1533-position model. The record is from RNAcentral.
AUUGAACGCUGGCGGCAGGCCUAACACAUGCAAGUCGAGCGAGCGGCGGACGGGUGAGUAAUGUCUGGGAGACUGCCUGCUGGAGGGGGAUAACUACUGGAAACGGUAGCUAAUACCGCAUACCAUCAGAUGUGCCCCCAUGGGAGUAGCUAGUAGGUGGGGUAAUGGCUCACCUAGGCGACGCUCCCUAGCUGGUCUGAGAGGAUGACCAGCCACACUGGAACUGAGACACGGGCCAGACUCCUACGGGAGGCAGCAGUGGGGAAUAUUGCACAAUGGGCGAAAGCCUGAUGCAGCCAUGCCGCGUGUGUGAAGAAGGCCGUCGGGUUGUAAAGCACUUUCAGCGGGGAGGCGGUACCAACAGAAUAAGCACCGGCUAACUUCGUGCCAGCAGCCGCGGUAAUUC